RNAcentral lists this ribosomal RNA (514 nucleotides) under uncultured bacterium. RNAcentral's name for it is "partial 16S ribosomal RNA". It matches the Rfam family "Bacterial small subunit ribosomal RNA", at positions 28 to 523 of the family's 1533-position model. The record is from RNAcentral.
GAUGAACGCUGGCGGCGUGCCUAAUACAUGCAAGUCGAGCGAACAGAUGAGAAGCUUGCUUCUCUGAUGUUAGCGGCGGACGGGUGAGUAACACGUGGGUAACCUACCUAUAAGACUGGGAUAACUCCGGGAAACCGGGGCUAAUACCGGAUAAUAUUUUGAACCGCAUGGUUCAAUAGUGAAAGACGGUUUCGGCUGUCACUUAUAGAUGGACCCGCGCCGUAUUAGCUAGUUGGUAAGGUAACGGCUUACCAAGGCGACGAUACGUAGCCGACCUGAGAGGGUGAUCGGCCACACUGGAAAUGAGACACGGUCCAGACUCCUACGGGAGGCAGCAGUAGGGAAUCUUCCGCAAUGGGCGAGAGCCUGACGGAGCAACGCCGCGUGAGUGAUGAAGGUCUUCGGAUCGUAAAACUCUGUUGUUAGGGAAGAACAAAUUUGUUAGUAACUGAACAAGUCUUGACGGUACCUAACCAGAAAGCCACGGCUAACUACGUGCCAGCCGCCGCGGUAA